GGCGACAUAGCCAAGUGGUAAGGCAAGGGACUGCAAAUCCUUUAUCCCCAGUUCAAAUCUGGGUGUCGC
This 69-nucleotide transfer RNA is filed under the name Jubula hutchinsiae. Its description in RNAcentral is "tRNA-Cys". It matches the Rfam family "tRNA". Rfam says of the family: Transfer RNA (tRNA) molecules are approximately 80 nucleotides in length. Their secondary structure includes four short double-helical elements and three loops (D, anti-codon, and T loops). Further hydrogen bonds mediate the characteristic L-shaped molecular structure. tRNAs have two regions of fundamental functional importance: the anti-codon, which is responsible for specific mRNA codon recognition, and the 3' end, to which the tRNAs corresponding amino acid is attached (by aminoacyl-tRNA synthetases). tRNAs cope with the degeneracy of the genetic code in two manners: having more than one tRNA (with a specific anti-codon) for a particular amino acid; and 'wobble' base-pairing, i.e. permitting non-standard base-pairing at the 3rd anti-codon position. RNAcentral also lists the same sequence under 3 other names. The record is from RNAcentral. Lineage: Eukaryota; Viridiplantae; Streptophyta; Jungermanniopsida; Porellales; Jubulaceae.